This 306-nucleotide unclassified non-coding RNA is filed under the name plant metagenome. RNAcentral's name for it is "partial contains 5.8S ribosomal RNA, internal transcribed spacer 2, and large subunit ribosomal RNA". The stretch from base 1 to 105 matches the Rfam family "5.8S ribosomal RNA", at positions 50 to 154 of the family's 154-position model. The record is from RNAcentral.
GAAAUGCGAUAAGUAGUGUGAAUUGCAGAAUUCAGUGAAUCAUCGAAUCUUUGAACGCACAUUGCGCCCCUUGGUAUUCCAUGGGGCAUGCCUGUUCGAGCGUCAUCUACACCCUCAAGCUCUGCUUGGUGUUGGGCGUCUUUGUCCCGCCUCCGCGCGCGGACUCGCCCCAAAUUCAUUGGCAGCGGUCCUUGCCUCCUCUCGCGCAGCACAUUGCGCUUCUCGAGGUGUUGCGGCCCGCGUCCAGAAAGCAAUCGUUACCGUCUUUGAACUCGGAUCAGGUAGGGAUACCCGCUGAACUUAAGC